GCUGUGGUCGGGUGCAUCAUUUUAUGCAUUUUCCUUUCCCCUAUUUUUCUCCCACACCAGGUUGCUCGUGUGCCGCUUGUCUCCUUUUCCUCUGCAUUGUCAAACAAACCUCCUCAAGAUCACAAGAACGACAAUGCACGACAACCAAAAGCCCAUGCUGCCACAUCUCUUGCACCAGAAGCCGUUAUGACCGAGCAACCCACUACAUUCUCUAUGGCCAAACAACCUCCUAGGACAAACCACCUAAGCAAGGCUCAAUGACAAAACAAAGAAAAUCACCUAACCCAUUCACAUUAAUGUCACUGCCGAGCCCCUUGGACAUCACUCCACCAUGUUGCCUAUCCACCGUAAAUGCACAUCUCCUAUUCUUCUCCCACGAUCACAUUGCCCAUGUGUUGUAGACGCAUGUCUUCUCUCCCCUGUCCGUCCAUUCCGAUGAGUUUGUCUUGGUUUCCUCACCUUCGGGCAGUUGUUUUUGCGGGGCUGCUCAUGAGUUACCCUCUCAAGAGGAUUAAGGGCCCAUGACAAAUGAUUUUUGUUGAAGAGGUAUGUUGAUUUCUUCAACAGCUUGAAUGCUGCUUAGUUCGAUGAAACCUAUGAGCUAUUGUGAGGUUGGUUAUUAGAGCACUUUGUCCAUUUGGAUUGAAAUAGGUAUGUUUGUUUCGUUAUAUCAGUUCAAUUCUUGGUUGUUUUGUGGAACCUGAUUUUGUCGGUGUUGUGGUUGAUGUGGGUUUUAUUGGUGCCAAAUCUAGCGAAUCAUCUUUGGUCAAUAUUUCCAAUGCAGCUCCCUGGCCUCUCUUCUAGGACAUUACUAAGAUUACGAGUCCACUUAAGAGGAAGCAUUGUGUACAUAGCUAUGGCUUUGAUUUUCUAAAGGAUGGCAUCAGCAGGAUUCCUGACUAUUAUUAGCCAUGACCAUGGUCAUGGACUUUGAGACUAGUGCUAGUGAUCAGGUCAUUCAAAGAAGAAGGUUAUUGUGGAGAUAGAAGCUGGACAAAAAACCACUACAGAGUGCUUUAGUUCCCUUCAUCCCAAAAAGAACUACAGCGUUAUCGAGGUCAUGUUAAAAAGAAUGAAUAUGGGAGAUAAUAGUCACUGAAUAUCAUCUUGAGCCAAAGUUUCCACAGCCACAACGUUUAUUUCAUUCGUCGAUGAUGCUCUCUAGCCUCGGUUGCCAAAGUACAGAAAACAAUCAUCGCCUAAGAGAGCCUCCUGUGCCAUUUGCUAUCAAAUCUUGUGUCCUUUUCUAGUUAGUGUAUUGGUGUCACAAAAUCCAGUUUCUUUCAGAAAAUUAUCUAUUUGUUUCUUUUCCUUCUUUCUUUCUUUUUUCUUUUUAACAAUCAUCGAGUUUUUCUUUCAUUUUGACUCCAGUAAACGAGUCAGGAAAGUAAUUAUCAACAUGAAAACAAUCACUCUUUCUGAUUUGUGAUCUCUCCCUUUUGUUUCUUGCAUGUUUGUUGCUGCCAUGUUUUUUGGGAAUUUUAUUCCUAAAGAUGCAAGAAAAGAUCAUACCAUUCAAUGACACUAACGCUAUCAGCAUUGGAAACAUUGAUCAAUAGUCACUUGAACACAAGCAUGUCAUGGGAAGCAAGAGUAUAAUAUGCAUUGUAUUGGAAUUCGUAACUGGUGGAGAGCUCUUUGACAAAAUUGAGUAAACAAGUCUAUGUUAGUCCCAUUCAUUUAAUAGUUGUCUUUUGUUUUUUAUUUUCU
Long non-coding RNA from Prosopis cineraria, 1710 nucleotides. RefSeq lists it as uncharacterized. The transcript has 5 exons. Lineage: Eukaryota; Viridiplantae; Streptophyta; Magnoliopsida; Fabales; Fabaceae. The record is from RefSeq and is a predicted model, not a curated record.